GCACCGACCCUCACGCUCUCCCGGCUUCAGGCUGCUGCCCGCAAGCCUUGCGAGCCCGGCGGGAGUUCCUGCUGGGCUCGCAAGGCUUGCGGAUAGCAGCCUGUACUGGGGGCUGGGGGGGGGGAAUAU
This is a non-coding RNA of Podarcis lilfordi (Lilford's wall lizard), 129 nucleotides long. The record is from the annotation of a GenBank genome assembly. NCBI's taxonomy places the organism in Eukaryota, Metazoa, Chordata, Lepidosauria, Squamata, Lacertidae.